This 387-nucleotide ribosomal RNA is filed under the name Cryptococcus sp. (in: basidiomycete fungi). RNAcentral's name for it is "Cryptococcus sp. (in: Fungi) partial small subunit ribosomal RNA". It matches the Rfam family "Eukaryotic small subunit ribosomal RNA", at positions 583 to 975 of the family's 1831-position model. The record is from RNAcentral. Lineage: Eukaryota; Fungi; Basidiomycota; Tremellomycetes; Tremellales; Cryptococcaceae.
UUCCAGCUCCAGUAGCGUAUAUUAAAGUUGUUGCAGUUAAAACGCUCGUAGUCGAACUUCGGGCUUGGCGGGAUGGUCCGCCUUACGGUGUGUACUAUUCUGCUGAGCCUUACCUCUUGGUGAGACCUCAUGCUCUUUAUUGGGUGUGGGGUGGAACCAGGAAUUUUACCUUGAGAAUAUUAGAGUGUUCAAAGCAGGCAAACGCCCGAAUACAUUAGCAUGGAAUAAUGGAAUAGGACGUGCGGUUCUAUUUUGUUGGUUUCUAGGAUCGCCGUAAUGAUUAAUAGGGACGGUCGGGGGCAUUAGUAUUCCAUUGCUAGAGGUGAAAUUCUUAGAUUUAUGGAAGACUAACUACUGCGAAAGCAUUUGCCAAGGACGUUUUCAUCG